AGCACAACAAUUUAGUUACACGACUUGUAUGAUCAAAGAAACUGCCAUACUCCAUUGCCCUGUUUUCUCCAUCUUAAUUACCUGUACUGCACAAAACUACAUGUCUAGACCCCUAGUCUCAUACUUCUUGUUACCAAAAGAGAGUCAUGUCACAGUAGAAACCGAAAUAUAGUACAAGUUGUUUCUACGAAUAAGUUUAGCUGCAUAAAGCAGCAACUAAUGUGAGAAGUCCUGCUUGGGUAAUCAGGCCAUUGCACUGUCAGUCCGAGCUGCAUCUUCAGUCGAUUGGCUUCAUUAAUGUCUCAAUCCGUCUGACAGAGCAAUGCAACUUGUUCUCUCGCCUCAAUAAUUGCAGAAAUGAAGAGAACCGAUCAGUAAACUGAAGCAAAUCCAAAGCUCAAUCACUAUCUGCACUCAACCUAAACCUGUUUUUGUCCCAGAUACAGGUCUAAGCAUUGAAUGACUGAGAGCGGGCUGGGAACUUGCUGGUGCAUUAAACAUGCUGGGUGUUGAAGAGGAUGGGUGAAUCGCUGAGAGUGGCAGCCGAGGCCCAAAUCCAUAAAUUCCCUGUUGCUGCAUAAAUGACAUUUGAGGGUGCAUCGGUUGGUUGUUUCCAUAUCCAGCAAUAAAAUUUUGUUGUGGAGGACCUGAAACUUGUUGCCUACUAUUUCCUGUAUUAUUGACCACUGCUGCACCAGCACCAGACACACCCAUUGGUCGGGAUACACGCACCGAACCAGGUUGAGUUGUCAUUAUCCGAGCACGUUCUCCAAAAAAGCGUUGCCUUGUUCUCUCCAAUUGUUCACAUUCUUUCAUUAGCAAGGUCUCCACCUCAGCGAACUGCUUCAGCUUCAGCUCUAACCUCUUCAACUGAUGGUUGACUAUGUUUGCAGAUAACCGCUGAAUCUCACGUUCUUCAUGGUCAGCAAAAAGCUUUGAUUUUACAGCUGCAGCUGCAAGACCAACUUUAGCAGCAGCUCUUACACUUUCAGUGGAUAAUGGAGUCCCUCCAGCAUCAUGUUGACCCCAUGGACCUUGUCCUGCUGCCUUAUCAUCUUUUCGCUGAUACGAACUUCCAACAUCUCCAUGAGGACUUUCAUUCUUUCCAGGCAUUCUUCCUACACUGAUCC
Molecule: unclassified non-coding RNA, 1130 nt
Filed under: Hevea brasiliensis (rubber tree)
Lineage: Eukaryota; Viridiplantae; Streptophyta; Magnoliopsida; Malpighiales; Euphorbiaceae
Source: RNAcentral